AGGACGAACGCUGGCGGCGUGCUUAACACAUGCAAGUCGAGCGGAAAGGCCCUUCGGGGUACUCGAGCGGCGAACGGGUGAGUAACACGUGAGUAACCUGCCCCUAGCUCUGGGAUAGCUCCGGGAAACCGGGAUUAAUACCGGAUAUGACCACUUUAGACAUCUGCUGUGGUGGAAAGAAUUUCGGCUAGGGAUGAGCUCGCGGCCUAUCAGCUUGUUGGUGGGGUAACGGCCUACCAAGGCGACGACGGGUA
This 254-nucleotide ribosomal RNA is filed under the name uncultured bacterium. Its description in RNAcentral is "partial small subunit ribosomal RNA". It matches the Rfam family "Bacterial small subunit ribosomal RNA", at positions 26 to 285 of the family's 1533-position model. The record is from RNAcentral.